RNAcentral lists this ribosomal RNA (482 nucleotides) under uncultured bacterium. RNAcentral describes it as "partial 16S ribosomal RNA". It matches the Rfam family "Bacterial small subunit ribosomal RNA", at positions 30 to 507 of the family's 1533-position model. The record is from RNAcentral.
AUUGAACGCUGGCGGCAUGCUUUACACAUGCAAGUCGAACGGCAGCGCGGGGCAACCUGGCGGCGAGUGGCGAACGGGUGCGUAAUACAUCGGAACGUACCCAGAAGUGGGGGUUAACGUAGCGAAAGUUACGCUAAUACCGCAUACGUUCUACGGAAGAAAGUGGGGGACCUUCGGGCCUCAUGCUUUUGGAGCGGCCGAUGUCUGAUUAGCUAGUUGGUGAGGUAAAGGCUCACCAAGGCGACGAUCAGUAGCUGGUCUGAGAGGACGACCAGCCACACUGGGACUGAGACACGGCCCAGACUCCUACGGGAGGCAGCAGUGGGGAAUUUUGGACAAUGGGCGCAAGCCUGAUCCAGCAAUGCCGCGUGAGUGAAGAAGGCCUUCGGGUUGUAAAGCUCUUUUGUCAGGGAAGAAACGGCUGAGGAUAAUACCUUCGGCUAAUGACGGUACCUGAAGAAUAAGCACCGGCUAACUACGUG